GAAGAGCAAAAAACCACGGAGAACCCCUCGGAAAUGCCCUCGUAGAUUUGGGAAUAUCCAGGUGGAUUUCCCUGGAAAAUCCCAGUUUUUUUUCCCUGUUUUCCAGCCUCGGGAAGGGCCCCAGCCUGGUGCUGCCGCUGAUCCUGCCGGGAUUCUAUCCCGAGCUCUCCAUGCUCUACAUGCUCCAGCACCAGCGCCAGGACGAGCUCUACUGCCAGGGAAUCGUGGAGCUCAGCCUCUUCCCGGAUAUCCAGCUCCUGGAAUUCCUGGAUGUGCAGAAGCACCUGUGGCCUCUCAAAGACCUCACCCUGACCUCCAACCAGAGGCGCUCCCUGAUCAAGGACAAAUGUUUCCUGUCGGCCACCGAGUGCCUGCAGAAGCUCAUGUGAGUCCCUGCCCGGCUCUUCCCGCUCAAAUCCAGGGAAUUAUUUUUGGGAAAUGCCAGGAAU
RNAcentral lists this long non-coding RNA (449 nucleotides) under Zonotrichia albicollis (white-throated sparrow). RNAcentral describes it as "lncRNA (ENSZALG00000009121.1)". Lineage: Eukaryota; Metazoa; Chordata; Aves; Passeriformes; Passerellidae. The record is from RNAcentral.